This 301-nucleotide ribosomal RNA is filed under the name uncultured bacterium. RNAcentral describes it as "partial 16S ribosomal RNA". It matches the Rfam family "Bacterial small subunit ribosomal RNA", at positions 512 to 809 of the family's 1533-position model. The record is from RNAcentral.
CAGUCCGCGGUAAUACGGAGGGUGCAAGCGUUAAUCGGAAUUACUGGGCGUAAAGCGCACGUAGGCGGUUAUUCAAGUCAGAGGUGAAAGCCCGGGGCUCAACCCCGGAACUGCCUUUGAAACUAGAUAACUAGAGUCUUGGAGAGGUUAGUGGAAUUCCGAGUGUAGAGGUGAAAUUCGUAGAUAUUCGGAAGAACACCAGUGGCGAAGGCGACUAACUGGACAAGUACUGACGCUGAAGUACGAAAGCGUGGGGAGCAAACAGGAUUAGAUACCCCCGUAGUCCCUGUCUCUUAUACAC